UGUGAGGGUGAUCUCGCCGUGACAUCUGUCACCCCUCUGAUGACCAGGUUUGAUUCGGCUGAUCUGGCUGGCUAGGCAGGUGUCCCCCUCCUUCCUCACCACACCAUGUGCGCUUGGUCGAAGAGAACGACCUUCCCCAGUAGAGGAGAAUUGUUCUUCGGUCACGGGUACACAGGUAGCUGCACAACCCUGCUAGAAUCUCCAAGCAGGCUCUCCAGGUCCAUUUGUAGGAGAACGAAGGGAAAUCAAGCUCCCAAGACUCCACACACAUCCAGAUGAGACACUGCAUGUAGCAGUCUGCUUUUCU
Panthera tigris altaica (Amur tiger) is the source of this 307-nucleotide unclassified non-coding RNA. Its record names the gene 7SK. It matches the Rfam family "7SK RNA". From Rfam's summary of the family: 7SK was discovered as an abundant small nuclear RNA in the mid-70s but a possible function has only recently been suggested. NCBI's taxonomy places the organism in Eukaryota, Metazoa, Chordata, Mammalia, Carnivora, Felidae. The record is from Ensembl.